Branchiostoma floridae (Florida lancelet) is the source of this 456-nucleotide long non-coding RNA. RefSeq lists it as uncharacterized. The transcript is spliced from 3 exons. NCBI's taxonomy places the organism in Eukaryota, Metazoa, Chordata, Leptocardii, Amphioxiformes, Branchiostomatidae. The record is from RefSeq and is a predicted model, not a curated record.
UUUAAUUUUACAUUUACGUCACAGACUCCCGCUAAGUGAAGGUUAAACUUUCUUGUCGCAGCAACUGCAACUGUGCGCCCAAGUCUGCAGUUUUCUGCGCAUUCUACGUCAGCUUCUACCCAGUUUCGGUUGUCAUCGAUAGCAGAACAUCUUUAGAUGGGACCUCUAGAGAAGAAAACAAUUGGUCCAUGAGAAGCUGUACGUAGGAGGAGGCACACGGAUCUUGUCCCAAGCAGCAACAGAUUGAUGGCAGAUUAAGAGAAGCAGAGCUUGGUCCGUAACAAACUGUAUGUGGAAGAAGCAGACAGACUUGAUCCCAACCAGCCAGAAAAGGACACGCAGAUAUAGAUUGCAACCGAUUCUGAAAAGAUGUAUAAAAAAUUAUAUUUUGACGGAAUUGUAAAUUUUCUGCGAUUCUGCAGAUUAACUUAUAACAAUGAAAAACUUUACCUCAAA